Molecule: long non-coding RNA, 1463 nt
Filed under: Numida meleagris (helmeted guineafowl)
Lineage: Eukaryota; Metazoa; Chordata; Aves; Galliformes; Numididae
Description: lncRNA (ENSNMEG00000004858.1)
Source: RNAcentral
AGCUACUGAGUGAGGCUGCAGGGGAAGGCUGGCAGUGGAGAUGGGCAUGAAAAACAAACUGGGCGCACAGGUGUGAGCUGGGCAAGGCGCACAGCUGGGGGCACUCAGCCCAUAAUGAGCUGCUGCAAAGCUUGGUAGGGCUUUUGGGAUGGAGAGGGAGGUGUGCUUGGUGGGAGUGCUCAGUUUGCUUCAGCUUAUUGCUGCUUCUAGGAGGGCUUCUCCUUUCUGUCUCUGGGCAGGCUCUGCUCUGAUGCAGCAGUGGAUGGGGCAGCCAGGAUGGUGUGGGGCAGGAUCCAGUGCUACAACACAAGAUCCUUUCCUCAAAGCAAGAGCUCUCCUCGUGUGCAGAAAGGGACCCACUUCAUCUGCUCACCGUGCAGUCAGGACACCAUGGGGUGUGGGAUGGACCCAUCCUGACCACCUGCAGCUGCUGGAGGAGGACAGAAACCACUGCGCCUGAUUGGCCCCGUGCACGCUGGGAACCACGGGAGGACGCAUGGCCUGCUGCCCAUCUGAAAUCCCGAACCGACUUCUUCUUUUCUUUCCCCACAAUAGAAGACAAAAAAACUCAAUUUUCAAGAAGUGCAUCAAGCCCUUAAUUGGGAUUUUAAUUCCUAAAUGGCAGUGGGUACAGCACAGCCUGGCUCCCCAGCUAAUGCAUCCGUGUUAUUAGAGAGCAGAUACCCUGUGAAUGGAGGAGGCCGCAGCAUUUGCAUAGCAAUGAGUGCUCUGGCAGCACGGGAACCGAGGUUGAUUUUCUUUUGCAGCUAAAAGCAGACCUGAGUGGUACUUAUUAAUUUGAGUCCACCUCUGAAUACACUUAACGAUUCAAGUCCAAUUAGUUUUCAGAGUGCCCAGGUAGGAAGUAAUCAUUAAAAACAUGUAAAUUAAGUUACUGGGGAGCUUAAUAGAUUAGUCAUUGACUUUGUAGCUUAUGUUGGCUCUUAACCUUCAGCUGAAAUUAAUCACCGACCAUUUCUCUGAACGGGUGCAGAAGGUCAGGCCCAGGGGCAUGGCACUGCAUGGACGGGAGCAGUUCUGGGGGGGCAGGAGGGGGUGGGGAACCUCCCUGCCAUGUCCCCCAGUGCCCCCUCCUCAGACACAGGCUGCAGACACUUCAGCUGUGGGCAGAGAGGAGCUGAGCUGGGGGCUGUCUGCCUGGGGGGCUUUGUCCCCAUAGCGUUUUGCUCUUCUGCAGCAUUGCAGAAGCAUUGCAGUCCAUUCAGUGGUCAUUACUGCGUUAACUUCUGCGCCGCGACGUCUAUUAUGAACGAGUACGAUGGGGAUUAAUCACUGAUAACUGCAAGCCUCGGUGCUUUCCCACCAACCUCUCUUUUGCUGGGCUGUUUUUCCCUCUGUGUAUCGCUACAUGAAGGGAAAACAUGUGCUAUUAUCAGUAAUAGCAUGCUCCCCAUCCCGGCCAGCUGAAUAAAUGAACCUGUUACAGCUGGAAUUAAUAAGAG